UCAGUUCACCCCACGUGAGGGCACCUAGCUCAGCGACCAAUCAGAGCCUACGCAGGCCGCAUUGACCCUGUCAGCCAGGAAGUGAGGUGAAGGUGCGUGGUUCUCCCGGGUUUUCUCAUCUCAGCAACAGGUGUGGAGGCAUGUGAGAAACGCAGGGACGAAAGACAGGAAAAACUCAGAAUUGAGAGGAAGGAAAGCCAGCAUACUUACCUGCUGGAGGUCCAGAGUCGAGUGGCUGGAUGAAGGAGAGAAGCAACGUCGGUUAGACGAGUGUUAUUCUGAAGAAAAAAACUUGUAGAGACUUACCGUCAUGAUCAUGCUAAUGCUAGCUCGGUGUUUCACAGGCUAGCCACUCACCUUUCAUCCGGAGAGCUGCUGCAAUUCCGACACUAGUGUGUGUUCGGCUUUGUGAAACAGAGCAACGGUCAGGUUUUUGGAGAGGACAGGAAAGUACGAGGACCAGGACGAAAUUCCGGUCGCGAUAGAUGGCGAGCCAACCACUUUGAGGAUGAUCCACCCCAAAGAGGAUACACACGUUCCAAUUACACUCACAAGGACCUUUGAAGUUGGCUGUUGUCAACAUAACUUGAAUUCUUAAAGGGCCCCAACGAGUACUUUUAUUUUAAGUGUGCACACUAUUUAUUUUAUUUUAUACUUUUUUUUCCUGUAUAAAUUGGACACGAAUUUUUUACACUUUGUAACAAUACAAGACUGGCUACUCAAAAGUUA
Molecule: long non-coding RNA, 729 nt
Organism: Oreochromis aureus
Lineage: Eukaryota; Metazoa; Chordata; Actinopteri; Cichliformes; Cichlidae
Exons: 2
Source: RefSeq, a predicted model, not a curated record